AAAUUAACCGUCACACCCAGGUGAAUGAUACAAUGAUUCAACGCUGCUGUACAUGACCCAGUGUUCAUCGUGGAGACGUAUCUAUAAAGAAGUUGCUAUGACUGAGGUCAGAGAAGUUACUGCCUGUGCUCUC
This is a long non-coding RNA of Suricata suricatta (meerkat), 133 nucleotides long. RefSeq lists it as uncharacterized. The transcript has 3 exons. The record is from RefSeq and is a predicted model, not a curated record. Lineage: Eukaryota; Metazoa; Chordata; Mammalia; Carnivora; Herpestidae.